CGGCGCACGGGUGCGUAACGCGUAUGCAAUCUACCUUUCACAAAGGGAUAGCCCAGAGAAAUUUGGAUUAAUACCUUAUAGUAUAUAUGAAUGGCAUCAUUUAUAUAUUAAAGAUUUAUCGGUGAAAGAUGAGCAUGCGUCCCAUUAGCUAGUUGGUAAGGUAACGGCUUACCAAGGCAACGAUGGGUAGGGGUCCUGAGAGGGAGAUCCCCCACACUGGUACUGAGACACGGACCAGACUCCUACGGGAGGCAGCAGUGAGGAAUAUUGGACAAUGGGCGCAAGCCUGAUCCAGCCAUGCCGCGUGCAGGAUGACGGUCCUAUGGAUUGUAAACUGCUUUUAUACAGGAAGAAACACUUGCUCGUGAGCAAACUUGACGGUACUGUAAGAAUAAGGAUCGGCUAACUCCGUGCCAGCAGCCGCGGUAAUACGGAGGAUCCAAGCGUUAUCCGGAAUCAUUGGGUUUAAAGGGUCCGUAGGCGGUCAGGUAAGUCAGUGGUGAAAGCCCAUCGCUCAACGGUGGAACGGCCAUUGAUAC
RNAcentral lists this ribosomal RNA (539 nucleotides) under uncultured Flavobacterium sp. RNAcentral's name for it is "bacterial SSU rRNA". It matches the Rfam family "Bacterial small subunit ribosomal RNA", at positions 96 to 633 of the family's 1533-position model. The record is from RNAcentral. Lineage: Bacteria; Pseudomonadati; Bacteroidota; Flavobacteriia; Flavobacteriales; Flavobacteriaceae.